AUGAUUUAGGGUUUAAAGUUGAUGUUUUAAGUUUAGAUUUAGGGUUUACGUUUAGGGUUUAGAUUUGAAGUUUUAGAGUUUAGGGUUUAGAGUUGAUGUUUCAAGGUUUAGGGUUUAGAGUUGAUGUUUCAUGGUUUAGGGUUUAUAGUUGAUGAUUUAGGGUUUAUAGUUGAUGUUUUAAGUUUAGAUUAGUUAACCAUAUGUUUUUUUUGUCAAAGGUAAUCAAAAGGUUAUAAAUGUAUUUUACCUUUCAUUAAAGAUGAAUGUAAAAGUGGUUAGUGUAAACAUGAAAAGUGGUAUUUUGAAAAUGAUAUUUUUGGC
This 321-nucleotide long non-coding RNA is filed under the name Brassica napus (rape). Its description in RNAcentral is "long non-coding RNA (BNAP_LNC020515)". The record is from RNAcentral. Lineage: Eukaryota; Viridiplantae; Streptophyta; Magnoliopsida; Brassicales; Brassicaceae.